RNAcentral lists this ribosomal RNA (378 nucleotides) under uncultured bacterium. RNAcentral's name for it is "bacterial SSU rRNA". It matches the Rfam family "Bacterial small subunit ribosomal RNA", at positions 790 to 1167 of the family's 1533-position model. The record is from RNAcentral.
GUAGUCCACGCCGUAAACGAUGGAUGCUUGUUGUUGGAAGUGUUAACCCUUACAGUAACGAAGCUAACGCGUUAAGCAUCCCGCCUGGGGAGUACGGUCGCAAGAUUAAAACUCAAAGAAAUUGACGGGGACCCGCACAAGCAGUGGAGCAUGUGGUUCAAUUCGACGCAACGCGAAGAACCUUAUCCUGGUCUUGACAUCCUUCGACAACCGGCGAAAGUCGGCUUUCCCUUCGGGGACGGAGAGACAGGUGCUGCAUGGCUGUCGUCAGCUCGUGUCGUGAGAUGUUGGGUUAAGUCCCGUAACGAGCGCAACCCACGCCUCUUGUUGCCAUCAUUAAGUUGGGCACUCUAGAGGGACUGCUAGCGUUAAGCUGGA